RNAcentral lists this ribosomal RNA (253 nucleotides) under uncultured bacterium. Its description in RNAcentral is "partial 16S ribosomal RNA". It matches the Rfam family "Bacterial small subunit ribosomal RNA", at positions 524 to 776 of the family's 1533-position model. The record is from RNAcentral.
UACAGAGGGGGCAAGCGUUGUUCGGAAUUACUGGGCGUAAAGGGCGCGUAGGCGGCCCACUAAGUCGAACGUGAAAUCCCCGGGCUCAACCCGGGAACUGCGUCCGAUACUGGUGGGCUUGAAUCCGGGAGAGGGAUGCGGAAUUCCAGGUGUAGCGGUGAAAUGCGUAGAUAUCUGGAGGAACACCGGUGGCGAAGGCGGCAUCCUGGACCGGCAUUGACGCUGAGGAGCGAAAGCCAGGGGAGCAAACGGG